GACGAACGCUGGCGGCGUGCUUAACACAUGCAAGUCGAACGGAAAGGCCCUGCUUUUGUGGGGUGCUCGAGUGGCGGACGGGUGAGUAACACGUGAGUAACCUGCCCUUGACUUUGGGAUAACUUCAGGAAACUGGGGCUAAUACCGGAUAGGAGCUCCUGCUGCAUGGUGGGGGUUGGAAAGUUUCGGCGGUUGGGGAUGGACUCGCGGCUUAUCAGCUUGUUGGUGGGGUAGUGGCCUACCAAGGCUUUGACGGGUAGCCGGCCUGAGAGGGUGACCGGCCACAUUGGGACUGAGAUACGGCCCAGACUCCUACGGGAGGCAGCAGUGGGGAAUAUUGCACAAUGGGCGGAAGCCUGAUGCAGCAACGCCGCGUGUGGGAUGACGGCCUUCGGGUUGUAAACCGCUUUCGCCUGUGACGAAGCGUGAGUGACGGUAAUGGGUAAAGAAGCACCGGCUAACUACGUG
This 468-nucleotide ribosomal RNA is filed under the name uncultured bacterium. Its description in RNAcentral is "partial 16S ribosomal RNA". It matches the Rfam family "Bacterial small subunit ribosomal RNA", at positions 28 to 507 of the family's 1533-position model. The record is from RNAcentral.